GGAGAUGAUCCUAUUCACUUUUCGGAAGUGAGGACAAAACCAAAUAGGGAAAUGAGCCGCCGCAGGAAUGAAGAAGCCUGUAACAGCUAUUCCAAACCGGGAGAGCGUCCUGGGGCCAGGACUUCAUUGGGAUAAGAUGUUGAAUCUGGAACAAGAUAGAACAAGGCUGGACAUUUCCUGGAUUAUCCACGCCUACUCCUUAGAAACAAGCGUGAAGUCCCCACAAUGCGAGCAGGCCUCUCACCAGGUUGCCUGUGCUGUCUGCAGUGCGGUAUCUACCUCGAGUAGGAAGACGGCAGGAAAAAUCAAAGUGUCUUGAAAAUGCCAACACAUUAACCAGCUUGAAGCCAUACUCAAGUGCGAUAAUUCAUAUUCUGAUUUAUUAAUAUCCCAGUCAUAAACCCCAUGGCAAUAAAUACAUCUGUGCCUGUAAAAAGAGGGCACACUUGAAAAAUAACACAUGUCCAGGAAUAUCUUACUCAGCAAGCAGGCAGAGCCUGCUCUAAAUUGACGAACUUGGACACAGUGAAAACCAACAGCUGUCCCGCUUGGGAAACUAACAGUUGGGCUCCUUGGAAAAAAUACCUGAUUUAGAAUCUAACGAAUGUGUUUAUAAAGGACCCAUCUUCUUUUUUUUGUUUUUUGAGACAGAGUCUCGCUCUGCUGCCCAGGCUGGACUGCAAUGGCAAGAUCUCAGCUCACUGCAACCUCCGCCUCCUGGGUUCAAGCAAUUCUCCCACCUCAGCCUCCUGAGUAGCUGGGAUUACAGGCACCCGCCAUCAUGGCCAGGCUGGUCUUGAACCUCUGACCUCAGGUGAUCCGCCCACCUCGGCCUCCCAAAGUGCUGGGAUUAUAGGCGUGAGCCACCGCGCCCAGCCAAGGAUCCGUCUUCUCUAACAUUCGGCUUGAAGAGAGACCCCCCCACUACUUUACAGUGAUGCCUUCGGGAAGAACAGCCUUUUACCUCCCUAGGUUUUCUCCCCGCCUAGAGUUCUGUUUCUUACUACAUUACAUUUCCGCUCGCUUAGUGUUUUUCAACCCUCGAGCUCUCCUCAAACCGUUCCAUUGUUUAAGAUACUAACAAGGGGCUGCCCUGACCCAGGAGACAGUGUAAGUGUAGGGAUCAGGGAACAGAAGCAGGAACGCAAGACGCCGGAUACAAACGUGAACAUGCUGCAGGAUUCCACGUGCAUCAAAUUCUAGAAAAGCCAAAACCCACCCACAUAGGUUGCUUAGGAUGGGGUGGGGGGACUAAGAAGGGGCAUGAGAACCUUCUUUGGGUGAUGAAAAUGUCCUAUGUUGUUCUGCCUGAGGUCAUGCUGCAUUUGUCAAAAUUCAAAAACACUGAAAAUGAGUACAUUUUAUUGUAUAUAAAUGACACCUCAAUAAAAACGAAAGAUGUGAGCAACAUCCUGGGAAAAGAAAAUGUGAUUUCACCUUAAGUGCUUUAGCAGAAUUCUAUUAUAUGCCUCAGCUCUUACUCUUUCUUCUUUUUUGAGACAGAGUCUCGCUCUGUCACCCAGGCUGGAGUGCAGUGGCCACAAUCACAGCUCACUGCAGCCUCGACCUCCCAGGCUCUAAGAAUCCUCCCACCUUAGCCUCCUGAGUAGCUGAGAUUACAGGCAUGAGCCACUGUGCCCAGGAACUUACUCUUGCCUGUAAAAAUACAGCUCUGAAGUGAAGAAAUCCCAGGCGCCACAUCAAGGAGGCGAAACUAGAGUCCGCAGGAGGCCAGCCCCGCACGAGGAGUUUCAAACACUAAGGAUCCUGACAGGGAAAAGUUAUAUGAAGCAAGAAAGGCAAUUUAAAGCGAUAGUUUAUCAUAUGAAUGUUUCGUUCUUAAAAAUGAACAAGCUCUAUUUAUAAUGCCCAUUUAGAAAUGAAUCCAUUAAAAAAAAUCAGUAGAUCAGCACUUAUUUUAAUUACUGAGAUAGAGUCACACUUGACAGAAGCAAGCCCUGCGGUAUAUGGCAUCAUCACACCACCGGUGGUGUGGAGGUGAUUAAGAAAAUUAAUCCUAACAUGAAGAUUUU
RNAcentral lists this long non-coding RNA (2033 nucleotides) under Homo sapiens (human). Its description in RNAcentral is "HSALNT0026180". The record is from RNAcentral. Lineage: Eukaryota; Metazoa; Chordata; Mammalia; Primates; Hominidae.